Python bivittatus (Burmese python) is the source of this 1094-nucleotide non-coding RNA. The record is from RefSeq and is a predicted model, not a curated record. Lineage: Eukaryota; Metazoa; Chordata; Lepidosauria; Squamata; Pythonidae.
UCACCCCACUGGCUUGUGCCUAAGGUGGGACUAGAGCUCAUGGUCUCCCAGUUUCUCGCCUGGUGCCUUUAAUCACUAUAUCAGACUGGCUCCUAGAAUGGAUUACUAGCAUAUAAUUAGAAAUAUAUUUCAUGAUAAGAAAAAGUAUAGCAGUAUGACCUGCUGUGCCUGUUUGUUCUAUUAUCUCAAUUGUUGGAUAACUUCUAACCUUCUAUUCUCUCCUCUUACAAUCAAUCUUCUUUAUGUUACGAUAGCCUUUGACUCAGCAAGCCUUUGGGCAGACUGGAAAUUAUAAAACAAGACACAGGGACAUCUCAUGAGAGAGCCUCUAAGCUCCAGGAAUUAGCAGUAGACCCAGCAGGAGUCCCCAUCUCACACUAGUUAUGGACACGGGUGUCCUGGAAGGCUUCUAUUUUCAAACACUGGGACAUCUUUUAGGCAAGGUAGGAAGGUCCAAAGAAAAACUCUCAAAGAACCUGGAGUCAUUCUGCCUCAUAAGCCCAGAACUGUACAGUAACAUUGGAUUUCUCCCGCAUUUGUAGAAAACAGUUUGGGAGGAAGGGCAUUUUGGCAGAUCUGUUGCCUUAUGAAGUCAACGUUGAUUCUUGCAUCCAUAAGGAAAGGAUGAAGGUGUCAAGAUGAAGAAAGUAGCAUUGCAGCCUUGUGAUGCAAGCCUUUUCUGCAUACAUCAAAAUGUCACACAGAUGCCCCAAACAGGUGGAGCUUGAGAUGUGAUACUGUGACAUUGCUUUAAUUGUUUUGAAAAAAGCAGCAGGAUCCUGAGGACACUGUAGGAAAGAAGAUGACAGGAAGUUUUCUUGGAACCCUGAAGAAAUAAGAUUAUGAAGCAAAUGGUGCGGAAGAUCCUCAGUCACAUUUAUUCUGUAUGGACAAAGGCACAAAUUACAGGGAAUAAUUCAAAACUUGCCUUCGAGCACUGGCGAUGGCAUCACUCACAUUCACAACGGAGCCAAAGCCCUUCUUGCUGGAAAAUUCCAAAUUGAUAGCAAGUCCCAUAACAAUGGGAAAGUUAAUAAAAGGAAAGCAAAGUCAAAGUCAAAGAGAGCCAGUCUGGUCUAGUGGUUAAGGCACCA